GAACAUGCUUCUUUAGCUCAGAGGAGUUUGCUUAUACCCACCUUCUGAAGCCUACUUCUGUCAAUUCGUCAAACUCAUUCUCCAUCCAGUUUUGUUCCCUUGCUGGUGAGGAGUUGUGAUCCUUUGGAAGAGAAGAGGAAUUCUGGUUUUUGGAAUUUUCAACCUUUUUGUGCAGGUUUUUCCUUAUUUACAUGGAUUUAUCUACCUUUGGUCUUUGAUGUUGAUGAGCUUUGGAUGGGGUUUUGGUGUGGACAUCCUUUUUGUUGAUGUUGAUACUAUUCCUUUCCGUUUGUUAGUUUUCCUUCUAACAGGCCUCUCUGCUGCAGUUCUUCUGGAGUUUGCUGGAGGUCCACUAGAGACCCUGUUUGCCUGGGUAUCACCAGCGGA
Molecule: long non-coding RNA, 387 nt
Filed under: Homo sapiens (human)
Lineage: Eukaryota; Metazoa; Chordata; Mammalia; Primates; Hominidae
Description: HSALNT0342847
Source: RNAcentral